GGACUCAAAAAAAAAAAAAAAAGCUGGCAAUGAAAACUAAAGAUCUGAAUGAUUUUUCACUGAAAAUGAAAAAGAUUCCUUCAUCCAAUGUAUACCUAUCUACCUACUGAUUUGCCCAAAGUAGACCAAGCUCACCAUGAUAGAAGUGGGGGCCCAAGUCUAAGAACAUCUCCUUGAAGCCAUCUCAUCAUCACCUUCCUGCACCCGAGAUGACUUCAAAUCAACAUCAUAUUUCCCCGCUCUGAUAUAUGUAAAUGGCCCUCUAUCUUCCCUGAACUUCCCUGAAAUGUCACCAAUUUGGCUAUCAAUACUCCUACCAUGGCACGUAGGAGUAUCUUUGCCAAAGAAAUCUGGAACAUCUCUAUAACGAGAACUAUAACCGUCUGCAUCAUUACAACGAAAUCGCUUCACAGGUCCAUCCAUGUCAUUUUGCUUCGCAGGAUGAGCUGACCCAUAUCUAUACCGAUGCUUGCCCCUAUCAUCAUCACUCUCUUCAUACCUUAAACUCCCUCCACCACCUCCACUCAUCUCCGUGAAUCUUCUUGGGUGCAUAGACCUGAAGCUUCGUGAAGAGUCAACAAAAACAAACCUGUCAUCCAGUUGGGCAAAUCUUCCCAUUGAUCUCCGGCCUAAUGAAG
This 638-nucleotide unclassified non-coding RNA is filed under the name Hevea brasiliensis (rubber tree). Lineage: Eukaryota; Viridiplantae; Streptophyta; Magnoliopsida; Malpighiales; Euphorbiaceae. The record is from RNAcentral.